RNAcentral lists this ribosomal RNA (188 nucleotides) under uncultured bacterium. Its description in RNAcentral is "partial 16S ribosomal RNA". It matches the Rfam family "Bacterial small subunit ribosomal RNA", at positions 338 to 524 of the family's 1533-position model. The record is from RNAcentral.
CGUACGGGAGGCAGCAGUAGGGAAUAUUGGCCAAUGGCCGGAAGACUGACCCAGCCAUGCCGCGUGCAGGAAGACGGCCCUCUGGGUUGUAAAAGGCCUUUAUGUGGGAAGAAAAGGGCCCUGCGUGGCAAAUUGCCGGUACCAGAUGAAUAAGCACCGGCUAACUCCGUGCCAGCAGCCGCGGUAAU